UCAACCUAGUAGGACAAUUCCCUGCGCCCAACGACUUUUGUCGGGAUCGUGGCAAGUCUGCGAUCGAGGGGGUGAUGUUGAGAGCCGGAAGGCAAGAGGGUGCAAACACCAGUCGGCCUUUGUCCCGAUUGCUGAGUGUUAUGUGCUUGAUGUCCAAGGCUUGAUGUUGAUCCUCCAAGUGGGGCUUGUCCCUGCAUCAAUGGCUUUUGCCAGGAUCAUGGCGUUUGCUGUGAUCGAAAAAAUGAGGGGGUGAUGUUGAGAGCCGGAAGGCAAGGGGGUGCAAACACCAGUCGGCCUUUGUCCCGAUUGUUGAGUGUUAUGUGCUUGACGUCCAAGGCUUGAUGUUGACCCUCCAAGUGGGGCUUUUUUGUUCCUGCAGUAACGACUUUGUUGGGAUCAUUGUGAUCAAGUUUGGUUGGUUUCGUAUUGUGGUGGGUUUUUUCGAAGCUUCUAUUGUUCUUUUACGCAUCGUGCGGUGCAUCUUGGGGGCUGUUUUGGCUUUUGGUUGCUUGCUUGGGCUUUAUGCUAGGCGGGUGC
RNAcentral lists this unclassified non-coding RNA (537 nucleotides) under Espeletia jabonensis. RNAcentral's name for it is "Ruilopezia jabonensis partial external transcribed spacer". The record is from RNAcentral. Lineage: Eukaryota; Viridiplantae; Streptophyta; Magnoliopsida; Asterales; Asteraceae.